GGGCGUGUGGUCUAGUGGUAUGAUUCUCGCUUUGGGUGCGAGAUGCCCUGGGUUCAAUUCCCAGCUCGCCCC
This 72-nucleotide transfer RNA is filed under the name Saccharomyces cerevisiae (brewer's yeast). RNAcentral describes it as "tRNA-Pro (TGG) (tRNA-Pro-TGG-2-1)". It matches the Rfam family "tRNA". Rfam says of the family: Transfer RNA (tRNA) molecules are approximately 80 nucleotides in length. Their secondary structure includes four short double-helical elements and three loops (D, anti-codon, and T loops). Further hydrogen bonds mediate the characteristic L-shaped molecular structure. tRNAs have two regions of fundamental functional importance: the anti-codon, which is responsible for specific mRNA codon recognition, and the 3' end, to which the tRNAs corresponding amino acid is attached (by aminoacyl-tRNA synthetases). tRNAs cope with the degeneracy of the genetic code in two manners: having more than one tRNA (with a specific anti-codon) for a particular amino acid; and 'wobble' base-pairing, i.e. permitting non-standard base-pairing at the 3rd anti-codon position. The record is from RNAcentral. RNAcentral also lists the same sequence under 1 other name. Lineage: Eukaryota; Fungi; Ascomycota; Saccharomycetes; Saccharomycetales; Saccharomycetaceae.